GCCUGGGUGGCUCAGUUGGUUAAGCGUCUGACUUCGGCUCAGGUCACGAUCUCACUGUCGUGGGUUCGAGCCCCGCGUCGGGCU
This is a non-coding RNA of Acinonyx jubatus (cheetah), 84 nucleotides long. The record is from the annotation of a RefSeq genome assembly. Lineage: Eukaryota; Metazoa; Chordata; Mammalia; Carnivora; Felidae.